CUGAUGCUGGAAGAAACCAGGAACACAAUCACUGUCCCGGCCUCGUUCAUGCUCCGAAUGUUGGCGUCCCUCAAUCACAUCAGAUCAGAUCGGCUGGAGGGCGAUCGAUCUGAAGGAUCCGGUCAGGAAAACGAGGAGGAGCAGUAGCCAAGCUGGGGUUUUAUUUUCAUGAAAAAAAAGAAAGAAAAAAAAA
Molecule: long non-coding RNA, 193 nt
Organism: Fundulus heteroclitus (mummichog)
Lineage: Eukaryota; Metazoa; Chordata; Actinopteri; Cyprinodontiformes; Fundulidae
Exons: 2
Source: RefSeq, a predicted model, not a curated record